UUCCGGUUGAUCCUGCCGGACCCCACUGCUAUCGGGAUAGGACUAAGACAUGCAAGUCAAGCGCUUUCUAGCUAAUGUGAGAGCGCGGCGUACAGCUCAGUAACACGUGGCCAACCUGCCCUUGGGACGGGAACACCCCCGGGAAACUGGGGUUAAUUCCCGAUAGGUGAAGAAGUCUGGAAUGACUCUUCGCUCAAAAGACGUUUAUGUCAUGCUCAUAUUCGUCGCCCAGGGAUGGGGCCGCGACCGAUCAGGUUGUUGGUGAGGCAAUGGCUCACCAAGCCUUUUACCGGUGCGGGCCGUGAGAGCGGGAGCCCGGAGAUGGGCACUGAGACAAAGGCCCAGGCCCCACGGGGCGCAGCAGUCGCGAAAAUUUUGCAAUACACGAAAGUGUGACAGAGCUAUCCCGAGUGCCAUCCGCUGAGGAAGGCUUUUACCCAGUAUAAAUAGCUGGGAGAAUAAGGAGAGGGCAAGUCUGGUGUCAGCCGCCGCGGUAAUACCAGCUCUCCGAGUAGUGUGGACGUUUAUUGGGCCUAAAGCAUCCGUAGCUUGCUAGAUAAGUCCUCUGUUAAAUCCACCGAUUCAAUCGUUGGAUUGCGGGGGAUACUGUUUGGCUAGGGGACGGGAGAGGUCGACGGUAUUUCCGGGGUAGGGGUGAAAUCCUAUAAUCCCGGGAGGACCACCAGUGGCGAAGGCUGUCGACUAGAACGCGCCCGACGGUGAGGGAUGAAAGCUGGGGGAGCGAACCGGAUUAGAUACCCGGGUAGUCCCAGCUGUAAACGAUGCAGGCGGGGUGUUUUGGGGCGCGGCCCACAAGCCCGCCCCUAGUUGCCCGCAGGGAAAGCUGGUUAAGCCUGCCGCCCUGGGGAGUACGGCCGCAAGGCUGAAACUUAAAGGAAUUGGCGGGGGAGCACCACAAGG
RNAcentral lists this ribosomal RNA (921 nucleotides) under uncultured crenarchaeote. RNAcentral's name for it is "bacterial SSU rRNA". It matches the Rfam family "Archaeal small subunit ribosomal RNA", at positions 1 to 886 of the family's 1478-position model. The record is from RNAcentral. Lineage: Archaea; Thermoproteati; Thermoproteota.